AGUGAACGCUGGCGGCAGGCCUAACACAUGCAAGUCGAGCGGCAGCGCGUCCGACCACCCUCGGGUGGUCGGAUGGCGGCGAGCGGCGGACGGGUGAGGAAUGCAUCGGAAUCUGCCUCGUUGUGGGGGAUAACGUAGGGAAACUUACGCUAAUACCGCAUACGACCUACGGGUGAAAGUGGGGGACCUUCGGGCCUCACGCGAUGAGAUGAGCCGAUGCCGGAUUAGCUAGUUGGCGGGGUAAAGGCCCACCAAGGCGACGAUCCGUAGCUGGUCUGAGAGGAUGAUCAGCCACACUGGAACUGAGACACGGUCCAGACUCCUACGGGAGGCAGCAGUGGGGGAAUAUUGGACAAUGGGGGGCAACCCUGAUCCAGCCAUGCCGCGUGUGUGAAGAAGGCC
RNAcentral lists this ribosomal RNA (402 nucleotides) under uncultured bacterium. RNAcentral describes it as "bacterial SSU rRNA". It matches the Rfam family "Bacterial small subunit ribosomal RNA", at positions 30 to 416 of the family's 1533-position model. The record is from RNAcentral.